Molecule: ribosomal RNA, 430 nt
Filed under: bacterium
Lineage: Bacteria
Description: bacterial SSU rRNA
Rfam family: Bacterial small subunit ribosomal RNA
Source: RNAcentral
GUGGGGAAUAUUGCACAAUGGGGGAAACCCUGAUGCAGCCAUGCCGCGUGUGUGAAGAAGGCCUUCGGGUUGUAAAGCACUUUCAGCGAGGAGGAAAGGUUGAUGCCUAAUACGUAUCAACUGUGACGUUACUCGCAGAAGAAGCACCGGCUAACUCCGUGCCAGCAGCCGCGGUAAUACGGAGGGUGCAAGCGUUAAUCGGAAUUACUGGGCGUAAAGCGCACGCAGGCGGUUGGAUAAGUUAGAUGUGAAAGCCCCGGGCUCAACCUGGGAAUUGCAUUUAAAACUGUCCAGCUAGAGUCUUGUAGAGGGGGGUAGAAUUCCAGGUGUAGCGGUGAAAUGCGUAGAGAUCUGGAGGAAUACCGGUGGCGAAGGCGGCCCCCUGGACAAAGACUGACGCUCAGGUGCGAAAGCGUGGGGAGCAAACAGG